CAAUAGCGUAUAUUAAAGUUGUUGCAGUUAAAAAGCUCGUAGUUGAAUUUCUGGGCUGGCCGGGAGGCGGCCUUCGGUCGACCUCCCCGCGAGUUCAUCCUCGCCCCUCGGGGCGUCAUUUACUGUGAAAAAAUUAGAGUGUUUAAAGCAGGCUUCUGGCUUGAAUACAUUAGCAUGGAAUAAUGAGAUAGGACCGAGUCGUAUUUUGUUGGUUGCGCGAACCGGUAAUGAUUAAUAGGGACAGUUGGGGGUAUUCAUAUUUAAUUGUCAGAGGUGAAAUUCUUAGAUUUGUUAAAGAUGAACUACUGCGAAAGCAUUUACCAAGGAUGUUUUCAUUAA
RNAcentral lists this ribosomal RNA (339 nucleotides) under uncultured eukaryote. RNAcentral's name for it is "partial 18S ribosomal RNA". It matches the Rfam family "Eukaryotic small subunit ribosomal RNA", at positions 592 to 976 of the family's 1831-position model. The record is from RNAcentral.